GGCGGGGCUAAAAAGACCACAGACUCUCAAGAAUGGAUCCAAAAAACCAUCCAGUGCCUAAGUAGCAGAAGCCAUUCUCUGUCCCGGCUGUGACAAUGGAGCCGGGGCUGGGGCCUGGCUGCUACAGUGCCCGCCCGGUGUGCAGGAGACCCCAUUCCAUCCCCAGCCCCACAAGAAGAGUAGGUAAACAGGCCAUGUGGACACCCAACUGUUCUCUGCUCCCUCUUCCCUUCUGAGGCUGUUGCUAGCACUCCUUAGAAGAAAGCUGCUUCCUGCUGCUUCCUGUAAGCGCAUCAGUCAGCCUCUCAAUCGACAGGUAUUUUCUUUCUCUCUCUCUCUUUCUUCUUUCUUUUUUUGGUGCUGGGGAUCAAACUAAAUCCUCUGCCCCUGAACAGGUAUUUUCUAAGCAAUUCAGGUGGAAACUCACCACAAAUCUAUACAAUGACAAAGCACUGAGUCAUGUUUUGGGGAGAACCCUGCCCUCUAAUGGCAAAGUGUCACCCACCCAUAUAGGCCGUGGGCAGUCAGGGAG
This is a non-coding RNA of Heterocephalus glaber (naked mole-rat), 532 nucleotides long. NCBI's taxonomy places the organism in Eukaryota, Metazoa, Chordata, Mammalia, Rodentia, Bathyergidae. The record is from RefSeq and is a predicted model, not a curated record.